Molecule: long non-coding RNA, 322 nt
Filed under: Capsella rubella
Lineage: Eukaryota; Viridiplantae; Streptophyta; Magnoliopsida; Brassicales; Brassicaceae
Description: long non-coding RNA (CRUB_LNC000235)
Source: RNAcentral
UAUAGUUAGUAACGUAUUACAUAUACAAAGUUAGAUCAUAUCCAAUGGUCAUAAUUCAUAAACGACCAAAUGACUAAUCACAUAUAUGUAUCAUAACUCAUGACCGCAAUUAUAAAAUGAUUUACACAAUUCAGAAACAGCAAAGAGAGGGGACGAACAAUAACAUACCCUCGAGCAAAGUUAACUGCAGACGUAGGAGUAACUUGGGUGCUGAUAUCAGUUUCGGGUUCUAAACGAUUAUUCAAAUCUUUCUGUUGGAGACUUUUCUUGUUCUUUUUCUUGUGUGACUUCAUCUUUAGUCAGUCCGAUCCAAAACCCUAAU